Molecule: ribosomal RNA, 1206 nt
Filed under: Anaerococcus sp.
Lineage: Bacteria; Bacillati; Bacillota; Tissierellia; Tissierellales; Peptoniphilaceae
Description: partial 23S ribosomal RNA
Rfam family: Bacterial large subunit ribosomal RNA
Source: RNAcentral
UUGUUUUUUGUUUUGAGCGUUUGGUGGAUGCCUUGGCAUCGUGUGCCGAUGAAGGACGUUGUGGCUGGCGAUAGCCUCGGGGAGUUAGCGAGCGUGCGUUGAUCCGGGGGUUUCCGAAUGGGGUAACCUAACCAUAGUUGUGUGUGGUUGGCGCGCACUGAAGUUUUGAUAGGUGUGUGUUGGUAGGGUGGGAAGUGAAACAUCUUAGUACCGCCUUUUGUGAGAUAGUCCGUGUGUAGUGGUGAGCGAUAGCGGGUGUUGGCUAAACCGUUUGCGUGUGAUACUCGGCAGGGGUUGCGCGGGCGGGGUUGUGGGACGAAGUCGUUGAGAAUCUGCCGGUUCUUGGAGCGUUUUUGUGUGUGCGAGGUGAACAGGUUGGGAUGCCUGGCCGUAGACCGUGAGAGUCGGGUAGCUGGUUGUGCAUGCUUUGCGUUGGGUUUUGUUCCCGAGUAGCGCGGGGCUCGUGGAAUCUCGUGUGAAUCUGCCCAGACCAUUGGGUAAGCCUGGACGGGCAUGGUGACCGAUAGUGGAUUAGUACCGUGAGGGAAUGGUGAAAAGUACCCCGGGAGGGGAGUGAAAUAGUUCCUGAAACCAAGCGUUUUUAAGCCGUCAGAGCCGCGGGGUCUUCGGACUGGUGUGGUGGUGGCGUGCCUAUUGAAGAAUGAGCCUGCGAGUUAUGUUGCGUUGCGAGGUUAACCUGUUGUGGGGUAGUCGUAGGGAAACCGAGUCCUGGGGGCGUUUUAGUUGCGUGGCAUAGACCCGAAGCGGGGUGAUCUACCCAUGGCCAGGUUGAAGCGGCGGUAGAACGUCGUGGAGGACCGCACCCACCAGGGUUGAAAACCUGGGGGAUGAGCUGUGGGUAGGGGUGAAAGGCCAAUCAAACUCCGUGAUAGCUGGUUCUCCCCGAAAUAUAUUUAGGUAUAGCGUUCCAUCUUUUGCUUGCGUGUGGUAGAGCUACUGGUUGGUUGAUGGGCCUUGUUGGUUACUGAGAUCUGCUAAACUCCGAAUGCGCGUUAAGUUGGUGGGGCAGUCAGACAGCGGGGGAUAAGCUUCGUUGUCGAGAGGGAAACAGCCCUGAUCAUCGGUUAAGGUCCCUAAGUGUGUGCUGAGUGGAAAAGGAUGUGUAGUUGCGUUGACAGCCAGGAGGUUGGCUUAGAAGCAGCCACCCUUGAAAGAGUGCGUAAUAGCUCACUGGUCAAGUGAUUC